CCUACUGUGUGCAGCAGUGGGGCAUAUUGCACAAUGGGGGAAACCCUGAUGCAGCGACGCCGCGUGCGUGAAGAAGUAUUUCGGUAUGUACAGCUCUAUCAGCAGGGAAGAAAAUGACGGUACCUGACUACGAAGCCCCGGCUAACUACGUGCCAGCCGCCGCGGUAAUACGUAGGGGGCAAGCGUUAUCCGGAUUUACUGGGUGUAAAGGGAGCGUAGACGGCGGAACACGUCAGAAGUGAAAACCCGGGGCUCAACCCUGGGAGUGCUUUUGAACCUGUUUGGCUGGAGUGCAGGAGAGGUAAGCGGAAUUCCUAGUGUAGCGGUGAGAUGCGUAGAUAUUAGGAGGAACACCAGUGGCGAAGGCGGCUUACUGGACUGUAACUGACGUUGAGGCUCGAAAGCGUGGGGAGCAAACAGGAUUAGAUACCCGUGUAGUC
RNAcentral lists this ribosomal RNA (440 nucleotides) under uncultured bacterium. RNAcentral describes it as "partial 16S ribosomal RNA". It matches the Rfam family "Bacterial small subunit ribosomal RNA", at positions 338 to 795 of the family's 1533-position model. The record is from RNAcentral.